GACGAGAGUUUAGGACACCACUGCAACCUGGGCUUCUCCUUAUCCACAUCCGGGCGGUUGGCUCUGCUUCUUCUCCAGUAUGUUGCUGUCCAUUGAUUCCAUUAAUCCAUUCUCCCCUGUUCCGGCUUUUUAUCAUGAAUACGCAGAUUUAGAUUAGGUGAUGUGGUACUUUGAUCGUUUGAUGAUGAGUACUCUAAUUACUGUGAUUGUGUGAUCCUGAUACUGUAUUUUGUUUCCUGUAAGUUUAAUGUUUGAGACUUGGAGCUUUAUAGCUUAUUGUUGAUACUUGUUUGUGACCUGGAUUGCAAAUGUGUGUCUCGUAUCUUGCUGCUGCUGUUGGAGCACUGAACGCUUGGCCUUGGACAUCACAGCCACCCCACCAUUACCUUGGACGCUACUUCAAAUCCUGGCAGCACAAAAUUUUAGUGGAAACAUAAGGAAAUUUGCAAGCGGGGAUUAGAAGAAUUAUUUUGAACUGAAUGAAGAAGCUACGCACCUUUUAGCGAACUUUUAUAUGCUUGCAUAGUUUUUGCUCUUCGACAAUGAACUUGUAAAAUUUCAAAAAAAUCUUACUAAGUUAAUUAAGCUUCAUGUAUGACAGAUUUUCAUUGGGAAUAGAUACACUUUUGUCAAAGAAGUAUCAUGUCAGAUUUACCAUCUUGUAAAAUCAACUGUGAUGGGGCGUUCUCUGCACCUGAGGGCACUGGUGGUGGAGGCUGGGGCUUCGUCAUACAUGACUUGCCGGGAGAUGUGAGAGGCUCUGGAGCGGGGCGCCUUCGACAUGUAGCAACACACCCCUUUAUUUUCUGAAACAUUGACGGGUGUGGCAACACACCCCUUUAUGUCCUUGUGUCUACUGUUAGGAAACUUCUUGCAAGUACUUUGGUUAGGUACUAGAAAGCAUGCGCGUGCACACACACACACACACAUGCCCACAGCAACAAGCACGCACAUACAACACAACACAGAUGCUCUGCUCCUGAUUUGUCAAUAGUAUGCUGAUGCUUUGCUUUGAUCUGCUCUAACACUAACUUUUUUGUCAAUAGUAAGGGAAGUCGAAGUUUCUGAUUGGUGAUGCUUUUGCUUCAGGAUACUUAAUUGCCUCGCAUUGACCUUUUAUUCAAAAGAAGGAUAAUCGAGUUGCAGCUGAAUUCUCCGGUUGGAUCAAGAAGCAAAUACAAUUAGAAAAUUUUACUUAGCAAUAACCGUAGUUUACAUUGAUAGAUGGAAAAAAUGUAAUAUCAUGCAGAAGUUGUUUUUUAUUUGUUUGAAUUGUGCAAAUGCUAUGGUGUAAUAUUCUCCAUAGACAUGUUCACUGUAGUCAAAAUAUAUGAAUGAUGUUUUGCGGUACGAGUAAUAUUGGUAUUUGUUUAUUGUAA
This is a long non-coding RNA of Hordeum vulgare subsp. vulgare (domesticated barley), 1379 nucleotides long. RefSeq lists it as uncharacterized. NCBI's taxonomy places the organism in Eukaryota, Viridiplantae, Streptophyta, Magnoliopsida, Poales, Poaceae. The transcript is spliced from 3 exons. The record is from RefSeq and is a predicted model, not a curated record.